This 513-nucleotide ribosomal RNA is filed under the name uncultured bacterium. RNAcentral's name for it is "partial 16S ribosomal RNA". It matches the Rfam family "Bacterial small subunit ribosomal RNA", at positions 28 to 523 of the family's 1533-position model. The record is from RNAcentral.
GACGAACGCUGGCGGCGUGCCUAACACAUGCAAGUCGAACGGAGAAUUAGCAAUAAUUCUUAGUGGCGAACGGGUGAGUAACGCGUAGACAACCUACCCUUUAGAUGGGGGCAACCCCGCGAAAGUGGUGCUAAUACCGAAUAUUGCUUGAGAAGCGCAUGCUUUUCAAACUAAAGAUGGCCUCUAUUUAUAAGCUAUCGCUAAAGAAUGGGUCUGCGUCUGAUUAGCUAGUUGGUGAGAUAAAAGCUCACCAAGGCAACGAUCAGUAGCCGGUCUGAGAGGAUGAACGGCCACACUGGGACUGAGACACGGCCCAGACUCCUACGGGAGGCAGCAGUGGGGAAUCUUCCGCAAUGGGCGAAAGUCUGACGGAGCAACGCCGCGUGAGUGAUGAAGGUUUUCGGAUCGUAAAACUCUGUUGUUAAGGACGAAUGUAUAGAUUGUGAAUAAUGGUUAUAAUGACGGUACUUAACGAGGAAGCCACGGCUAACUACGUGCCAGCCGCCGCCGUAA